This 549-nucleotide ribosomal RNA is filed under the name Escherichia coli. RNAcentral's name for it is "partial 23S ribosomal RNA". It matches the Rfam family "Bacterial large subunit ribosomal RNA", at positions 1024 to 1575 of the family's 2925-position model. Lineage: Bacteria; Pseudomonadati; Pseudomonadota; Gammaproteobacteria; Enterobacterales; Enterobacteriaceae. The record is from RNAcentral.
AACCCAGACCGCCAGCUAAGGUCCCAAAGUCAUGGUUAAGUGGGAAACGAUGUGGGAAGGCCCAGACAGCCAGGAUGUUGGCUUAGAAGCAGCCAUCAUUUAAAGAAAGCGUAAUAGCUCACUGGUCGAGUCGGCCUGCGCGGAAGAUGUAACGGGGCUAAACCAUGCACCGAAGCUGCGGCAGCGACGCUUAUGCGUUGUUGGGUAGGGGAGCGUUCUGUAAGCCUGUGAAGGUGGCCUGUGAGGGUUGCUGGAGGUAUCAGAAGUGCGAAUGCUGACAUAAGUAACGAUAAAGCGGGUGAAAAGCCCGCUCGCCGGAAGACCAAGGGUUCCUGUCCAACGUUAAUCGGGGCAGGGUGAGUCGACCCCUAAGGCGAGGCCGAAAGGCGUAGUCGAUGGGAAACAGGUUAAUAUUCCUGUACUUGGUGUUACUGCGAAGGGGGGACGGAGAAGGCUAUGUUGGCCGGGCGACGGUUGUCCCGGUUUAAGCGUGUAGGCUGGUUUUCCAGGCAAAUCCGGAAAACCAAGGCUGAGGCGUGAUGACGAGGC